GCAACCGCUCUUAUCCCAAAAUCUUUGUCUUUGCUUCUGCAAUGCAGGAUCAGUGUUACUCCUGUGUUAAUUCUGUUAGUAAUCACAACGUGUUUAGGUGCAAACGGUAAAAAACCAUCGACGGAUGAAUGGUUUCCAAAAGAUGACGUUUUGAGGAUAAGUAGAAAUGAGAAUAGCACAAAAAUGAGAUGGCUGUUUGUUAAGGAAGACAUGGUUACACGUUAAAAGGGUUUGUGAAAUUUGUUUGUUUUGAAAGUAGUAUUUAUAUAGACAGAUUACAAUUUAGUUGGUUGUACUUGUUGCAUCUACAUAGUUACAAGUAAAACUGUAGAAUGUAAACAUGCAUGCCCAUUAGUACUUUUUUUUAAUUAUUGCACCUCUAUUUUUUUUACUUGAAGUUUUAGACUUGCGCUUACAAAUCAAGAAAUUAUUUAAUUUUGUAAGAUUUUACUAGAUAAAAACUUCAUAAGUUAUACAAAUAACCAUAUUUCAACUAAUAAAAAGUAAUUUGGAAGAUAUAAAUAGUCAUAUAACAUGUACAAUUCAUAAAUUUUGCAUUAAAAUUUGAAACAAAAAAUUUCUUUAAAACAUAUUUUAUUUUAAAAAUAAGGGAGUAGCAUAUAAAACAUAUAAAUAAUGUUCUUUAGUUAGUCAGUAUUGAAAGAAAAAAAUGGUAAGAGAUCUCUCAAGUCGUAUUUUCUACUUUAGAAAAAUGUCUUUAAAGUCUUUCUUGUCAUUUGAUAUAUUUUAGUUGAGAUUUUAAAAGGAUAUGAAAAACUAAAAUAUGAAAUCUGGUUAUAUAUAGAGACAUAAUUACAAGUAAAUAUUUAGAGUCAAAAAUGUCCAUUAGUAAUUAGAACUACUAGCAUACCAAAUAAUAAAAAAUAAAAAUAUACUGUAUACAUGUAUUUAGUGUUCUUUAGUCAAUUUUUAUUGGUUGCUAUUUUUUUGUCAACAAAUCUAUCUGUUUCUUUUCAGUUUUCACUAAAUAGUUAUAAAUUAUAUUUUAAACUUUUUUAUCAAUAUCAAAUAUUUUUAUAACAGAAUUUGUUGAUAUACUCUCUUUUAGUAGAUAUUAAUUUAAUUAAAGUAUAAUAUCUUCUUGAUGGAUUAUGUCUUUGAGAUAUUGUAAAACAAUUAGAAAUCCAAUGACAAAAGAAAGAUAUACAUAUUUAAUAACAAUAUCACCUACCAUAUCUGUUUAUUUAUUAGUGUUUGAAUCAAAUCAAGGAUACAAACCAAGAAAGAUGCAAUAGAUACAAUUAAGAAUCCCAGUCGAAACAAGUAAGACUGUCAUCACGCUUAUCACGACAAGGGCCGGGCUCAUAUAUGACCCAAGUGCAUUAUCUACAAACUCCAAGCUUACUUCUUGGGUUGUCAUCUCUAUCGACCGUAAAAAUAGCAAAUGUUGCUCUAUGUCCAGGCCAGUUGAAAAUGCAAGUAUACCUUGUCGUUUUACGGAGGUUGACAUGAAAUCUAAAAUCAAAACUUUGUAGGAAUCCAACCGCUCUGAUACCAAAAUCUUGCUCUUUGUUUGUGCAAUGCAGGAUCAGUGUUACUCCUGCGUUAAUUAUGUUAGUAAUCACGACAUGUUUAGGUGCAAACGGUAAAAAUCCAUCCAUCUGAUGGAUGAAUGGUUUCCAGAAGAUGACGACUUUUUGAGGAUAAGUAGAAAUGAGAGUAACACAAAAUGAAAUGGCUGUUUGUUGAGUGUUUGUGAGAAAUUUGUUUGUUUUGAAAUUUGUAUUUAUAAACAGAUUACAAACUUGUAAAUUGUAACAUGUUGUAUGGACUUAACUACAAGUAAAUGUUUUGAAUCUAAAAACGCAUAUCCGUUAGUACUUUGUUUAAUUACUAACAUACUAAAUAAAACAUACUCUAUCCAUUUCUUUUUACUUGACGUUCUAGAAUUUUGCACAUAUAUGAAAAAUUAAUUUUGUAUAUUUUAUAAACAAAAACAUCAUUAACUAUACAAUUAAUUAUAUUUUAACCAAUAAAAAUAAACUGCAUAAUAUCAAAAGUCAUAUAGCAUGCAAGGUUCAUAUAUUCUGCAUUGAAAUUUGAAAGCAUCAACUAAUUUGAAACAACACAAUUCUCUAAAUGUAACCUACGUGUAUAAGAUUCGCAUUGAUGUAUGUUCGCUUAAUCAACAAAAAGUUUAGGGUGUUUUGUGAUGUUAAAAAAAAAAAAUCCACCGUCUUACUUAAGAGGAAUGCAUUAGAAUAUAUUUUCAUGUUUUUUAGUGUUUAAGUGUUACACUCCCAGAAGAAAAAUAUCAAAUGUUAUUGACGAGAAAGUUCUUGGUAUUGUUCAGUCAUAGAGAUAAUUGUAUUCUUUGUAACGAUUAGAGAGCUAUUUCAUAAAUCUUAGAACUUCUUUAUAAUGAUUUAAAAAGAAAUCCACAAAAUCUGUAUUGAGUAUAGUUCUCAUAAAUAGUUGUUAACUUCGAUAUCUCAUCAAGAGAAAUAUAAUCUCUUAUCACAAGAGAAAAGCUACAAAUAUGUAAUAAUAAUAUCACCUACCAGACCUGUUUAUUUUAUUAUUAUUAUGAAUCAAAUCAAAAUACAAAAAAAUGCAAUAUAUAUUUUAAAGCGAUACAGAAUCCCAGUUGAAACAAGUCAUACCGGUUUUAUCACGUUUAUCACGACAAGGGCCACCAACAAAAAUGAUCCAAAUGCAUUCUCUACAAACACCAAGCUUACUUUUUGGGUUGUCAUCUCUACCGACCGUAAAAAUAGCAAAGGUUGCGUUAUGCUCAGGCCAGUUGAAAGUGCAAGUAUAUCUUGUUGUUUUAAAGAGGUUGACAUGAAAACUGAAAUCAAAGCUACCUUCGAAUUGGACUGCUCUUAUCCCCAAAUCUAUCUCUUUGUUUCUGCAAUGGAAGACCAGUGUUGCUCUAGUGUUAAUUCUGUUAAUAAUAACGACAUGUUUAGGUGCAAAUGGUAAUAGUCCAUCGAUGGACGAAUGGUUUCCAAAAGAUGACGACGUUUGAAGGAUAAGUAGAAAUGAGAAUAGCAUCCAUUUCAUUUUCGAACUCGAAGAAAAGAUGAAUAUAUGACAUAAAUCCUCUUUUUUGUUUAGAAAUUAGUAUUUAUAAACACUAGAGGUUGGCCCGCCCUACGGGCGGGUGGGUUUACACUGAAACUAUUUUAUACUAAAUUAUAUUUUAGUUUUAUAAAAUAUUUAAAAUUUUACUUUAUACUGAAAUUAAUAAAUAUAAUCUAUUUUAUUCUAAAAUUAUAUUAUAAAUUUAAUUAAAUUUUGUUGGUUUAAGUUGAAAAAACUACUAACAAUAUUUUUAAUAGAAAACACAAAAUUAUUAAAUUAAAAAUUAAUAUUUUAAUAUUUGAUUUCUAUUUCAAUUUGAUAUAGUUUAAAAAAUCUAAAAUAAGAAUAACUACUAUUUUUUAUUCUAAAAAUAUCAGAUUUUAAUAUUAUUAUAAUAACUAUUUUUCACGAUAAUAAAUUAAUAUACCCACUUCCAAACUAAAUCAUUUGAAAAACAAAUGUAAUGUGAUACAAUUAUAAAAUUUUAUAUUUUAAAGUAAUAUAGAAAUAGAUUCAGUAAUGUCAUAAUUAAUAAUUAGUAUAUAUUAUAUAACAAAAAACGUGGUGUAGAAUAUAUGUGUGUCUCAGUUUAUAUUAGAUUUUCCAUUUAUAAUGAAUUUCUUUAAUUUUUAGUGUUUUACUAAUUAUUUUUUGUAAAAUAUUUUAGCAUUUGGUGUAAAAUAUAGUGUUUUAAUUUUGCAUUUGUAUUGGUGUGAUUUGUAAUAAAUUUAUUGUUAUAAACAUUUUUCACAAUGAUUUUUUUAGUUAUUUCAUUUCCAUAGUGAUGUGUUCAUGUUGUUAAUACAAACAAAUCAUAAUCAUCUACUACGGUUGACAUUUAUCCAUUGAAAAGUUAAACUAAAAGUAAUGUAUGUUUUUUAAUUAUUAUAAUAAUCAGUUAGUUUAAUUUUUUUUUCAUAGUAGAAAGAUUGGUUUUUAGAAUGUUAAAGAGAAUAUCAGUAACAUCAACUAAAUGAGGAUUGCGUUACGAAGCCAAAUUUACAAAAUUAAUGUAAUUUAAGUUUACCGUUACGACUUCAACAAUGUUAGAUCGCUGGAAGCUAGUAGGAGUAAGGCAAUGUGCGGUCAGACCAAUUCAUUGAUUGGAUGUCAAAUUAGUAGACCGACGAUUAUAAACAAAGUUGUAAGGUUUUGAGAGUACACAAGAUUUUGGGGACUGUAGACCUUACUAUUGAUGUUUAGUAUAGUGACAUGUUAAUUCUCAUUCUAUUUUUUUAUUUGUGUCUCGCUUAAUUCAAAUAUAUUUGUAUUUUAUGUUUUUAUUUCAUGAUUAGUGGUAAGUUCACUUUCACAUUAUGACUUAGGUUUUUACAUAAUAUAUUUUGCAGAUUUUGGUUUCAUUUUUUUUUAAAUCAACAUUUGAAUGUAUGGUCUGAAAAAUUCUAUUUCAUAUAUUCCAUAUCUUCUGAUGCUGUAUCCAUUUGUCCACAAUGGGAAGUUGUUAUUGGGUAACUGUCAACCCCUUGAAACUUUUAGAUCAUUUGGAUUUGUACUAUGUAUAUUACAUAUUGUUAUCUUUUGAUAAAUGCAACUCCGUAUAAUUCUUUGAAAUCAGUAAACUUAUAACUUCAGUCGUUUGAAAAAUUUUUCCAAUCUUUUGUAAAUGAUUUUCCCAUGAAGGAUGAAUAAAUUUGAAAUUUCAUAAAAAAAAAAAAUUUCCCCAAUCUAAAUGUGUUUUUAAGUGAUAGUGUAAAGAAAAAAAUAAUGCAAGACAUUCGUUUGAGCUUAUUUAGUUUUAAAUACACUGCAGAAACUUAAUUUUUCUAGUGUACAAAAAUCAUAUGCGAGAAGAGCAACAGCACCAGUAAUGCUCACUUACUUUGUAAGACCUGAAUCAUUAUCUUUGCCUAGGAAGCCGGAAUGAGGGAGGUUGAAGAUAGUUCGGUCAAAUCUUCUGCAGUUAAGAUGAGGAUGCAAUGUUACUGCAAUUUGGUUGCAUAAACUCCACGUAAGAGGGAAUCUCCACAUGUCCUCAAAGUUCCAAGAUUUGAAAGGAAGAGAUAAGAAUGGAUUGGAUGAAGCGGAGAGAUUUGGGGAGUUCGUCAUCUUUAUUUAUAGGAUAUAGAUUCUCGUUGCUACAAAAACUGCAACACAAAGAACACAAUACAAAUCAGCCUCAAUCAAACGAUGAAAAAAACCACAGUGAGAAUAUACACAAACAAAGAAACUAAGGUAAGAAACAGAAUUGUAAAAUGCAACAAAUCUUUAGAAACAGCCACAGAAAUCAUAAAAUAAAAUGCAACAUAUCAACAAAAUCAACAAUUUUGCAAGAGACAGAGACAGAGAUUAAUAUAGGCAUAUGUUAACCACAUAAAAUAAAAUGACAAACUUAACUUACAAAUACAAUAGAUCUAGUGGCCUCUGAAGGAAAGUAAGUGGUGAAGAAGCCAUUCAGUUCGAGAAGGCUCGUUGCUAAUACUUCUUCCUGAAAAAGGCAAAAAUAGAAAUUCUAACUAAAGCCUUGAUACAAAAGGAGAUAAAAGAAGACUUGAAGAUAUGGUUCAUAGAUAACAUUUAUACCUUCAGUGCUUCAGAUCUUGAAGCUGCACCAACAGCAAGAACAGCUCUCGCACAGUCUGUCUAGCAGUUCUUACGGCUCUGAAUCUCCUCUACACUGCUGCGUGAAGCUUAAGAAAGCUAGGAAUGGUAACCACAAAAUCCAACCUUCAAGUUUGAUGCUUUAAACAAUUAUUCCAGCAAGAGAAGGCGUUUAACGUCAUGUAUAAAGCUUUGAAGUCAAAAUCUAAAACUGAUCAAAACGAAACCAACAUAGGACAGUGUAGUUUGUUAAAUGUUUACCACAUAGGAAGUCAAAGUCAAGCAUUCGUUGAACAGGAAGCUGAUUAUAGUUGUAGAACAAAGCUUGUAUGGUCCGAGAGAACAGUUGUCCCGUUGCAAUUUUGGGAAGAGUUCAAAAGGGGAAACUGUGAAUCAAAACAGAAACGCUCUUAUCCCAAAAUCUUUGUCUUUGCUUCUGCAAUGCAGGAUCAGUGUUACUCCUGUGUUAAUUCUGUUAGUAAUCACAACGUGUUUAGGUGCAAACGGUAAAAAACCAUCGACGGAUGAAUGGUUUCCAAAAGAUGACGUUUUGAGGAUAAGUAGAAAUGAGAAUAGCACAAAAAUGAGAUGGCUGUUUGUUAAGGAAGACAUGGUUACAC
RNAcentral lists this long non-coding RNA (6227 nucleotides) under Brassica napus (rape). RNAcentral describes it as "long non-coding RNA (BNAP_LNC025101)". The record is from RNAcentral. Lineage: Eukaryota; Viridiplantae; Streptophyta; Magnoliopsida; Brassicales; Brassicaceae.